CCGAGUUUACAACUCCCAAACCCCUGUGAACAUACCUGUACGUUGCCUCGGCGGAUCAGCCCGCGCCCCGUAAAAAGGGACGGCCCGCCCGAGGACCCCUAAACUCUGUUUUUAGUGGAACUUCUGAGUAAAACAAACAAAUAAAUCG
This 148-nucleotide unclassified non-coding RNA is filed under the name soil metagenome. RNAcentral's name for it is "partial internal transcribed spacer 1". The record is from RNAcentral.